This 556-nucleotide ribosomal RNA is filed under the name Fejervarya sp. USNM 586893. RNAcentral's name for it is "partial 16S ribosomal RNA". It matches the Rfam family "Bacterial large subunit ribosomal RNA", at positions 1817 to 2597 of the family's 2925-position model. Lineage: Eukaryota; Metazoa; Chordata; Amphibia; Anura; Dicroglossidae. The record is from RNAcentral. RNAcentral also lists the same sequence under 1 other name.
CGCCUCUUGCUUUAACAUAAGAGGUCCAGCCUGCCCAGUGACACAAUUAAACGGCCGCGGUACCCUGACCGUGCGAAGGUAGCAUAAUAACUUGUUCUUUAAAUGGGGACUAGCAUGAACGGCACCACGAAGGCCUCACUGUCUCCUUUUUCUAAUCAGUGAAACUGAUCUCCCCGUGAAGAAGCAGGGAUAAUAAUAUAAGACGAGAAGACCCCAUGGAGCUUUAAACCCAGCAAGCAACCCUAAUCUACAUAACCCAUCUAAAUUAUUUACUCCCCUGCUUCCUGGUUUUAGGUUGGGGUGACCACGGAGUAAAACACAUCCUCCAUGACGUACGAGAUUAACCCUUAUCCAAGAGCUACUUCUCUAAGAAUCGAUAAAUCGACGUUUUAUGAUCCAAUGUAUUGAUCAACGAACCAAGUUACCCUGGGGAUAACAGCGCAAUCCAUUUUAAGAGCCCCUAUCGACGAAUGGGUUUACGACCUCGAUGUUGGAUCAGGGUACCCAAGUGGUGCAGCCGCUACUAAUGGUUUGUUUGUUCAACAAUUAAAACCCU